GAGCCUACAACUUCAACAAGCAAUAGCAGUCCCCAUGGGAGCACAACCACAGCAGGAAUCACUACAUCAGCUGGAGGAAAUACACGCUCAGAGAGUUCUGUUUCAGAUUCCACUUUGGUAACACCUAGAGUCACAACCAGCCCCAAUAUAUCCCAGAC
Long non-coding RNA from Grammomys surdaster, 158 nucleotides. RefSeq lists it as uncharacterized. The record is from RefSeq and is a predicted model, not a curated record. The transcript has 3 exons. Lineage: Eukaryota; Metazoa; Chordata; Mammalia; Rodentia; Muridae.